Molecule: non-coding RNA, 214 nt
Organism: Prunus avium (sweet cherry)
Lineage: Eukaryota; Viridiplantae; Streptophyta; Magnoliopsida; Rosales; Rosaceae
Source: RefSeq, a predicted model, not a curated record
CAAUCUCUGUUCCUUGUAUUAUGAAGCUUACAGGAUUACUCAUUACUGACCAUCAUCACAUGAUCUUGCAGGUGAUUGUGGGGAGGUUUGCCAAUUGACCUUAGUGAAAUCAAAAAAGAAAAAUAGUUCAUUUGUGUUUGGAGGGGCGGCCUUCGUCUGAUCUGACCGCAUGGAAAAGCUCUCUUUGUGUUGAUGAAGAAUUCUUCAUCUCAAA